This 72-nucleotide transfer RNA is filed under the name Marmota monax (woodchuck). It matches the Rfam family "tRNA". From Rfam's summary of the family: Transfer RNA (tRNA) molecules are approximately 80 nucleotides in length. Lineage: Eukaryota; Metazoa; Chordata; Mammalia; Rodentia; Sciuridae. The record is from Rfam by way of RNAcentral.
UGUGUUGUAGCUCAGUGGUAGAGCGCUUGCCUAGCACAUGUGAGGCCCUGGGUUCGAUCCUCAGCACCACAU